GCAGGGGAAGGGGGGGAACAAAACCCUAACAACACAAAAUCAGUCAAAUUGGAAAGGAAUUUGAGGGCUAAAUGAAUGCAUGAUCUAAGCACUAUGCUCCCCUAAGUGUUCCUAACAUCAAGAGUCAUGUCAACAUGGAUACAAACAUGGAAGUUCCAGGGGUCAAAAGUAAACAUGGGAGCUAUGCGUGAACUCGGAUGCACGAUGUUGCAUGGACAUAACAACAUUAUGGAGGAUAGAAGGAUUGAAGAUCGAGUCAAUAGCAAGCGUUGUACGGGAAGGAUC
Helianthus annuus (common sunflower) is the source of this 285-nucleotide long non-coding RNA. RefSeq lists it as uncharacterized. The record is from RefSeq and is a predicted model, not a curated record. The transcript has 3 exons. Lineage: Eukaryota; Viridiplantae; Streptophyta; Magnoliopsida; Asterales; Asteraceae.